This is a non-coding RNA of Nothobranchius furzeri (turquoise killifish), 1154 nucleotides long. The record is from RefSeq and is a predicted model, not a curated record. Lineage: Eukaryota; Metazoa; Chordata; Actinopteri; Cyprinodontiformes; Nothobranchiidae.
AGGAGACAUAACAUGAAAAACCCACUUUUUUAUCCAUUAACACAGUGUGUUUCACAUUUUAAGUGUCUAAGUGAGCAAAAAGGCUUAUAUUAUUCACUGGAGUUGCUAUUUAGAUAUUUAAUAAUUAAGUUUUGGGCAUAUUUGUCCACCCGUUCAGUUUUUACAUUAUCUAUUACAUCAGUAAUUAAUUUAGUCAGGAUAACUACCAAAUAUGGUAAUGGCCCUCGGCUAAACACAGAGCCAAUCCGCCAUUUUUUCUUCUCGCUAAGAUUUUUUGUAGUCCUAUUGGAAAAAUGCAGAAUGUCUGGUUAUUUUAGCCACACACAGCUCAAAACUGUUCCUCGUUUUAAGGAAGGGUGGUGUGGCAGUAUUUAAACCCAGGAGCUGAUGACACUACUGCUAAAAAAACACAGAAGAAAAAGUAGUGUGUGUGUGUGUGCGCGCGCGUGCGCGUGGUUCGUUCGUUCGUGUCUCCAGGCUAGUAAGUACUGAGGGCUUCAUCUAUCUAAAAGGAGUCAUUUGCAUCUGAAUGUGGCAGCACCGGGACACAGCAGCAGAGCGAGUCCACAUCCAGAAGACUGGAGCCGUGUUUCACUGACAGGCUGUCAGCCUAACGCCCUGAUGAGCUCAGCUGGGACAAACUGGUCUGAUGUUUAGGAACACAGAACGUUCAGAUGUUGGCGUUUCACGUCACCUACUGAGGAAGGAGACCCACCAGUGAAGAGAUGGUAGCUGGACCAGACCAAAAAUAUGACGAUGACAUCAUGGAACUGGUCUUUGGAAAAGUUUUCCCUGAACCAACUCCGUUUCUAGAUGAGGUAGAGAAGAUCUGCAUCUCACCAACUCUCUGGUCUCAGUAUUCAGACAACGGAGGUCUCCCACUGUUAUCCAGGACCAGUUUGAAGCCCACAUACUGCCCCUCCCUCAUCAUCAGGAAACAUCAAUCCGUAUCCUGAGGACAACAGAAGACGGCAGGAGGACAGGAACUCUGAGACCUAGAUACCACCAGCACCGAGACACAAAGCACCUGUGUGCACAACGCCUGUUUAACUACUAAAGCCUGUUUAUUAUAUUGUUCUACUUAUUUGCUGUGAGGUUAAUACUUAGAAAAUUUGUAUAUUAAUGUAAACAAUUAAAAAAAAUCACUGAUUGUA